Long non-coding RNA from Bombyx mori (domestic silkworm), 2163 nucleotides. RefSeq lists it as uncharacterized. The record is from RefSeq and is a predicted model, not a curated record. The transcript is spliced from 2 exons. NCBI's taxonomy places the organism in Eukaryota, Metazoa, Arthropoda, Insecta, Lepidoptera, Bombycidae.
AUGGCUGUAACAAAUAAAAAGUAUUAAAUUAAUAAAAAAUUAUAGAAUUUUACUGGGCUUUUAAUUUCUUGCAUCAAGUUUGAAUUGAUUGAGUUAGUAUAAUGAAACCAUAUAAAAACAUACAAAGUAUUGUAAAAACCUAGAACAGUUUCAAUUUUGUCAACUUUCUAUCAUCUAGAUAUCUUCGUAUUUUUAACACAUUAUUAUUAAAAAUAGGGUAUUAAAAAUAAAAUCCGAAUGAAAUUAUUAUUUCCUGUACACAAAUGAAGUCUGAAAUUGUUGUAAUCUAAAGGACAAGAUACCUGAUGCAUUCGUAUUGAGCGAUACGACUGUGCCGGUGUUCGAAUCAUGUAGGCAAUAGGCAUGUACCAAUUUUUAUAAUGAAAUACUCAGAAAUACGUAUCUACUUAACAAAUGUUCAAGUCACGAUGAAGGAAUAACAUCGUGUAAUACAAAUGAAACCCGCAAAAAUUACAAUUUACGUACUUACAGGUGUUUUUUUUCUACCUAAGCUGAUAGUCUUGAGAGCCAUUUCAGCGAAACCGUAACUAGUAAGUGAGCUCACGGGGCUCAAACCUGACGAUGUUGCUAACAGUAACCCUAGCGAGCGCAGUGCUUCGCAGAAUCUAUCACCGGAUCGGAAACGCGACCCACUGAGAAGAUCCGGCGAGAAACUCAGUGGGCUGUGUCUCUGGGUUAAUUUACUCGGCGAGUCCUUCGUCGCAAGCGACGGGCUCGACGAGAACGAUGACCGGUGCAUCCUAAAACCGGUGCAUCCGAGAACCUAAAAGCACCGUUAGUGGAUCGGGAGGCUCCGAAAUGACGUGUUUUGUGCAUUACUGUUGGUAGGGCGCGUUAUUAACCCGCACAAUUAGGUACCACCACCCUGCUUAUUUCCGCAGUGAAGCAGUAAUGGGUUUUGUUUUGUAGGGUGGGGCACCCCUGUAGGUAGCGGCCUCCCCCCAGUGAAGGUCAAGGGGCGACCUGAGGGGGCAGAGGCCGCGCUGGCGCUACCAGCACUCUAGCGUGCUGCCGAGGAGAUACGAAAGAGCGACCGGUUGGCGGUGUAUCGCGUCCCGACCCGACAGGCUGGUUCUGGUCCAGCGGGGUAUUCCGGGACACCAGCGGCACCGUCUGGGCGGCCUGACGGGCUGCCGUACCGAGACGGCCGACGUUUUAGAGCUUUCGAUUCGCCUCGAAGGCUCCGUCGGCUGGGCGUCCUUGGGGUGAGCCCCGCCGUCUGGUUGUAGUGUUGACCGCGGUAACCCCCCUACCUCAUCCGGAUUUUGACCUCGGAGGGGAGUCGUUUAGUGGGUGGGCCCUAAAAUCCUUGGGCCCGCGGUCUGCUCACAACACCAUGCAGACCGUUGAGUCUCACAUACCCCGCGCGCCCCUUUUGCGCGGGGACUUCGUAGGAGGUUCGGCCCCCUACCCGAAAAAAAAUUACGCUGAUGAUGUCUAGGGGCCACUUACACCACGUAACGUCUUCCGGCAAACGAUUUGCUAAUUAUGUCUUUGUAAGUCUAAUUUUAGGCGGCCACCGUAGUCUAAGUCCUUAUAGACAUAAAAACCUGUGAAGACACCAGAUCAAAGCUUCAAUUGAAUUAGGUAGAUAACCAUCACGGUUAUCGUUUCAAAAGUAAUGAUUGCUUCGUGACAUGAUGGUGCUACCACGUAUACGGAUUCAGAAUACAUCUUGCCACAGAGGUGAGAAUUAUUCGGGAGGACCAGAGGAAGGUUGUUAGAUUAAUGAGUUGAGAAUAUUGCAAAUUACUUUUAUUAGGCCAUGUUCGGAGCUAAUAUCACACAAGAUUCUCUAGUCUGAAGGAAUAAAAUGAAUAACACGUUGAACGCCACACUAGAAACCAUGUUUAGCCCGGCGGAGACUGGUAUCUGCCAUUUGAUAUCUCGGAAUAUUUGUACAUCGCUAUUUAUGAUCACGGAGCAGAUCCUCGGUGUGCACGACGAUGCCGAGCAGAUCCGAGCUCACGGCGCUCUGUACGGCCGCCGGGAUAGACAGACAUCUUGGGUCCCGGUACGGCUGGUACUUAUUAGUGAUACCCUAGAAUAAGUUUUCAGACUGUAUAUUACUGUUUUGAAUGUUCUAAAUAGACGUGUUUAUCAUUCAUAGAUAACAUGAAUAAAUAAGUAAUACAAAAACAA